RNAcentral lists this ribosomal RNA (460 nucleotides) under uncultured bacterium. RNAcentral describes it as "partial 16S ribosomal RNA". It matches the Rfam family "Bacterial small subunit ribosomal RNA", at positions 338 to 795 of the family's 1533-position model. The record is from RNAcentral.
CCUACGGGUGGCAGCAGUGAGGAAUAUUGGUCAAUGGACGAGAGUCUGAACCAGCCAAGUAGCGUGAAGGAUGACUGCCCUAUGGGUUGUAAACUUCUUUUAUAUGGGAAUAAAAUGUUCCACGUGUGGGAUUUUGUAUGUACCAUAUGAGUAAGGAUCGGCUAACUCCGUGCCAGCAGCCGCGGUAAUACGGAGGAUCCGAGCGUUAUCCGGAUUUAUUGGGUUUAAAGGGAGCGUAGGUGGAUUGUUAAGUCAGUUGUGAAAGUUUGCGGCUCAACCGUAAAAUUGCAGUUGAAACUGGCAGUCUUGAGUACAGUAGAGGUGGGCGGAAUUCGUGGUGUAGCGGUGAAAUGCUUAGAUAUCACGAAGAACUCCGAUUGCGAAGGCAGUUCACUGGACUGCAACUGACACUGAGGCUCGAAAGUGUGGGUAUCAAACAGGAUUAGAUACCCGAGUAGUC